This 287-nucleotide long non-coding RNA is filed under the name Elaeis guineensis (African oil palm). RNAcentral's name for it is "long non-coding RNA (EGUI_LNC016854)". Lineage: Eukaryota; Viridiplantae; Streptophyta; Magnoliopsida; Arecales; Arecaceae. The record is from RNAcentral.
ACCAACUCAGAGUUGGCUGACUCUGCCUGCUCCAAGCAAUAUUUCAGUGAGUCUAUUUCCUCUUUCGCUGCAGCAAACUCCAAUAUUGAGGCUUCAGGGGUAGAGCCAACAAAACUGGCUAAGUAAUGUCCAACAUAUACAAAUGGGUAUACAAUCGUUAGGUGUUGCGAGUCAUGGAAGAUUGAAAGAAGAGAUCCAAAGACACUCUACCUGAGCAAGAGAUCUCAGAGCACCCAUUAUCCUUUGUUAAGCCUCUUGCUCAUCUAUGUACUGUUUCUUAAUAGGAG